GACGAACGCUGGCGGCGUGCUUAACACAUGCAAGUCGAACGAAGUGGCGCACGGGUGAGUAACGCGUAAUCAACCUGCCCUUCAGAGGGGGACAACAGUUGGAAACGACUGCUAAUACCGCAUACUGAAGGAGGGGAUUGCGUCUGAUUAGCUCGUUGGGGGGGUAACGGCCCACCAAGGCGAUGAACAGUAGCCGGUCUGAGGGGUGGGACGGCCCCAUUGGGACUGAGACAAGGCCCAGACUCCUACGGGAGGCAGCAGUGGGGAAUCAUCCGCAAUGGACGGAAGGCUGACGGAGCAACGCCGCGGGAGUGAUGACGGCCUUCGGGUUGUAAAGCUCUGUUAAUCGGGACGCGGUACCGGAAUAGAAAGCCACGGCUAACUACGUGCCAGCAGCCGCGGUAAUUC
This 408-nucleotide ribosomal RNA is filed under the name uncultured bacterium. RNAcentral describes it as "partial 16S ribosomal RNA". It matches the Rfam family "Bacterial small subunit ribosomal RNA", at positions 28 to 526 of the family's 1533-position model. The record is from RNAcentral.